Molecule: ribosomal RNA, 253 nt
Filed under: uncultured bacterium
Lineage: Bacteria
Description: partial 16S ribosomal RNA
Rfam family: Bacterial small subunit ribosomal RNA
Source: RNAcentral
UACGUAGGGGGCAAGCGUUGUCCGGAAUUAUUGGGCGUAAAGAGCGCGUAGGCGGUCCGGUAAGUCGGCUGUGAAAGUCAAGGGCUCAACCCUUGAAAGCCGGCCGAUACUGUCGGACUAGAGUCCGGAAGAGGCGAGUGGAAUUCCCGGUGUAGCGGUGAAAUGCGCAGAUAUCAGGAAGAAUAUCCGUGGCGAAGGCGGCUCUCUGAUACGGCACUGACGCUGAGACGCGAAAGCGUGGGGAGCGAACAGG